GACGAACGCUGGCGGCGUGCUUAACACAUGCAAGUCGAGCGAGGCCCCUCCUUCGGGAGGGUGUCCUAGCGGCGAACGGGUGAGUAACACGUGGGCAACCUGCCCCCGGCUCUGGGAUAACUCCAAGAAAUCGGGGCUAAUACCGGAUGUGACCGCUGACCGCAUGGUCUGGUGGUGGACAGAUUUAUCGGCUGGGGAUGGGCCCGCGGCCGAUCAGCUUGUUGGUGGGGUAGUGGCCUACCAAGGCGACGACGGGUAGCCGGCCUGAGAGGGUGACCGGCAACACUGGGACUGAGACACGGCCCAGACUCCUACGGGAGGCAGCAGUGGGGAAUAUUGCGCAAUGGGCGGAAGCCUGACGCAGCGACGCCGCGUGGGGGAUGACGGCCUUCGGGUUGUAAACCUCUUUCAGCAGGGACGAAGCGAAAGUGACGGUACCUGCAGAAGAAGCACCGGCCAACUACGUGCCAGCCGCCGCAGUAA
RNAcentral lists this ribosomal RNA (483 nucleotides) under uncultured bacterium. RNAcentral's name for it is "partial 16S ribosomal RNA". It matches the Rfam family "Bacterial small subunit ribosomal RNA", at positions 28 to 523 of the family's 1533-position model. The record is from RNAcentral.